RNAcentral lists this ribosomal RNA (1244 nucleotides) under Triticum aestivum (bread wheat). Its description in RNAcentral is "partial small subunit ribosomal RNA". The record is from RNAcentral. Lineage: Eukaryota; Viridiplantae; Streptophyta; Magnoliopsida; Poales; Poaceae.
GCAAGUGGUUAAAGCCUCCCAAAUAACUAAGUGUAAGCUCAUAAAAAACGAAAACUGCCAAUUUUGUUACAGUUGAGAAAAUAUGUAAGCUUAUCAAACACAAUGUCUCAAGCUCAUUUUUUUUCUCUUCCAUCUGCUUAUGCACAGCACGUAACUAAGUGGUUAAAGCUUAAAAGUAUCCAUAUCAAACAGAAUUAAAUUUCAUAUCCAGGUUUCACACUCUGAAUGCUUCCAUCAUAUCUGAUCCACUUUUACUUCUACUGAAAGUGUGCUCUAUUUUGAUGGACAUAACAAAGGUAAGAAAAUCAAAUUGUGGAACAGAUCAGUAUAGAAAAAUAUUGAACCAACUCCAAUAGUUGUUUGUUAGAAUUUAGACCAACAUAAGAGCAUCCUAGCAGAUCCAGUAAAAACGGUCAAACCUUCAGAUUUACUGUACAGGUUGGAAAAAAAACACCGAAUAGAUCCUGUAAAAUAGCAUACCCCAUAUUUUUUUACAGGUUCCCGUAUAUUAGAGCAACCAUCUGUCAUAUUUGGAGGAUUCAAACCGUUUUUUGAGGAUCCCAUAAAACCGGUCAACACUGGAGCAGGGGGCCUGGCAACGCCGCGUGCGAGCAGCGAGCAGGCGGAGGAGCUCGGCAGCGGCUGGCCGGAGCAUCGCCAGAGCAUGCGGCGGGACGGAGCAUCGACGGAAAGUCGCUGGAGCAGGCAGCAGGCCAGAGCGGCGCCGGAGUAGGCGGCAGGCCGGAGCGGCGCCGUUCCAGCCGGCCGGAGUUCGAGUCCGUCCAUGCGUGCGUCGGGGAAGAAGCGUGAGGAGAAAACAAAGAAAAAAACUUUUAUUGUACGGGUUUAUGGGAUCUGUUCCGCCCGAUGCCCCGCGGUACCGUAAAUUCGUUAUAAGGGGACCUGUAAACUGUUUUUACAGGUGGUGUUUUUACGGGAUCUGCUAGAGAUGCUCUAAAUAUUAGUACUAAUUCAAAGUUAAUGGAGCAAUAUGAUGAAGUCAUGGAUAUUAGGUUUUGCAUUCAAAAUGAUCAGAUCCACUUUAGCAGCAAGAAUAUAACAAAAUGUACACCCAAAUCAUUGAGCACCAGCACUUAGAUUUUACCUUUUUGUUGCAGCAGAAGUGUUUCAACUAUUAAGUAAAACUACUUUGUUUACUUCCAUUUUGUUCUGGAAACAUGGUAGUAAUAAAUUUUACAUUAACGACUACAAACAACAGCAACGGUUGAAUAAUGUAAGAAGUU